UCCCCGAUGGCUCAGCUGGUAAAGAAUCUGUCUGCAAUGCAGGAGACGCAGGUUCGAUCCCUGGCUUGGGAA
RNAcentral lists this transfer RNA (72 nucleotides) under Bos taurus (domestic cattle). It matches the Rfam family "tRNA". Rfam says of the family: Transfer RNA (tRNA) molecules are approximately 80 nucleotides in length. Their secondary structure includes four short double-helical elements and three loops (D, anti-codon, and T loops). Lineage: Eukaryota; Metazoa; Chordata; Mammalia; Artiodactyla; Bovidae. RNAcentral also lists the same sequence under 4 other names. The record is from Rfam by way of RNAcentral.